AACGAACGCUGGCGGCAUGCCUAACACAUGCAAGUCGAACGAGACCUUCGGGUCUAGUGGCGCACGGGUGCGUAACGCGUGGGAACCUGCCUUUAGGUUCGGAAUAACUCAGAGAAAUUUGAGCUAAUACCGGAUAAUGUCUUCGGACCAAAGAUUUAUCGCCUUUAGAUGGGCCCGCGUAAGAUUAGCUAGUUGGUGGGGUAAAGGCCUACCAAGGCGACGAUCUUUAGCUGGUCUGAGAGGAUGAUCAGCCACACUGGGACUGAGACACGGCCCAGACUCCUACGGGAGGCAGCAGUGGGGAAUAUUGGACAAUGGGGGGCAACCCUGAUCCAGCAAUGCCGCGUGAGUGAUGAAGGCCUUCGGGUUGUAAAGCUCUUUUGCCAGGGACGAUGAUGACGGUACCUGGAGAAUAAGCCCCGGCUAACUCGUGCCAGCAGCC
RNAcentral lists this ribosomal RNA (442 nucleotides) under uncultured bacterium. RNAcentral describes it as "bacterial SSU rRNA". It matches the Rfam family "Bacterial small subunit ribosomal RNA", at positions 29 to 516 of the family's 1533-position model. The record is from RNAcentral.